This is a long non-coding RNA of Oncorhynchus tshawytscha (Chinook salmon), 1157 nucleotides long. The record is from Ensembl. NCBI's taxonomy places the organism in Eukaryota, Metazoa, Chordata, Actinopteri, Salmoniformes, Salmonidae.
CAUGGUGUUUUACUGUAGACAUGGUGUUUUACUGUAGACAUGGUGUUUUAAUGUAGACAUUGUGUUCUUUACUGUAGUCAUGGUGUUCUUCACUGUAGACAUGGUGUUCUUUACUGUAGGCAUGGUGUUCUUUACUGGAGGCAUGGUGUUCUUUACUGUAGGCAUGGUGUUUUACUGUAGGCAUGGUGUGUUUUACUGUAGGCAUGGUGUUCUUUACUGUAGGCAUGGUGUUUUACUGUAGGCAUGGUGUUCUUUACUGUAGACAUGGUGUUCUUUACUGUAGACAAGGUGUUUUACUCUAGACAUGGUGUUCUUUACUGUAGGCAUGGUGUUCUUUACUGUAGGCAUGGUGUUUUACUGUAGGCAUUGUGUUCUUUACUGUAGGCAUGGUGUUCUUUACUGUAGGCAUUGUGUUUUACUGUAGGCAUGGUGUUCUUUACUGUAGAAAUGGUGAUCUUUACUGUAGGCAUGGUGUUUUACUGUAGGCAUGGUGUUUUACUGUAGGCAUGGUGUACUUUACUGUGGGCAUGAUGUUUUACUGUAGGCAUGGUGUUCUUUACUGUAGGCAUGGUGUUUUACUGUAGGCAUGGUGUUCUUUACUGUAGGCAUGGUGUUCUUUACUGUAGGCAUGGUGUUCUUUACUGUAGGCAUGGUGUUCUUUACUGUAGACAUGGUGUUUUACUGUAGACAUGGUGUUUUAAUGUAGACAUUGUGUUCUUUACUGUAGUCAUGGUGUUCUUCACUGUAGACAUGGUUUUUCUUUACUGUAGGCAUGGUGUUCUUUACUGGAGGCAUGGUGUUCUUUACUGUAGGCAUGGUGUUUUACUGUAGGCAUGGUGUGUUUUACUGUAGGCAUGGUGUUCUUUACUGUAGGCAUGGUGUUUUACUGUAGGCAUUGUGUUCUUUACUGUAGGCAUGGUGUUCUUUACUGUAGGCAUUGUGUUUUACUGUAGGCAUGGUGUUCUUUACUGUAGAAAUGGUGAUCUUUACUGUAGGCAUGGUGUUUUACUGUAGGCAUGGUGUUUUACUGUAGGCAUGGUGUACUUUACUGUGGGCAUGAUGUUUUACUGUAGGCAUGGUGUUCUUUACUGUAGGCAUGGUGUUUUACUGUAGGCAUGGUGUUCUUUACUGUAGGCAUGGUGUUCUUUACUGUAGGC